UACGGAGGGGGCUAGCGUUGCUCGGAAUUACUGGGCGUAAAGCGCACGUAGGCGGCUCUUUAAGUCGGGGUGAAAUCCUGGAGCUCAACUCCAGAACUGCCUUCGAUACUGUAGAGCUUGAGUUCGGGAGAGGUGAGUGGAACUGCGAGUGUAGAGGUGAAAUUCGUAGAUAUUCGCAAGAACACCAGUGGCGAAGGCGGCUCACUGGCCCGAUACUGACGCUGAGGUGCGAAAGCGUGGGGAGCAAACAGGG
Molecule: ribosomal RNA, 253 nt
Filed under: uncultured bacterium
Lineage: Bacteria
Description: partial 16S ribosomal RNA
Rfam family: Bacterial small subunit ribosomal RNA
Source: RNAcentral